UACGUAGGUGGCAAGCGUUGUCCGGAAUUAUUGGGCGUAAAGCGCGCGCAGGUGGUUCCUUACGUCUGAUGUGAAAGCCCACGGCUCAACCGUGGAGGGUCAUUGGAAACUGGGGAACUUGAGUGCAGAAGAGGAAAGUGGAAUUCCAAGUGUAGCGGUGAAAUGCGUAGAGAUUUGGAGGAACACCGGUGGCGAAGGCGGCAUCCUGGACCGAGAUUGACGCUGAGGCGCGAAAGCCAGGGGAGCAAACGGG
This 253-nucleotide ribosomal RNA is filed under the name uncultured bacterium. RNAcentral's name for it is "partial 16S ribosomal RNA". It matches the Rfam family "Bacterial small subunit ribosomal RNA", at positions 524 to 776 of the family's 1533-position model. The record is from RNAcentral.